RNAcentral lists this ribosomal RNA (449 nucleotides) under uncultured bacterium. Its description in RNAcentral is "bacterial SSU rRNA". It matches the Rfam family "Bacterial small subunit ribosomal RNA", at positions 355 to 825 of the family's 1533-position model. The record is from RNAcentral.
UGGGGAAGUCUUGGACAAUGGGCGGCAAGCCUGAUCCAGCCAUGCCGCGUGAGUGAUGAAGGCCUUAGGGUUGUAAAGCUCUUUUGCCGGGGACGAUAAUGACGGUACCCGGAGAAUAAGUCCCGGCUAACUUCGUGCCAGCAGCCGCGGUAAUACGAAGGGGACUAGCGUUGUUCGGAAUCACUGGGCGUAAAGCGCACGUAGGCGGAUUUGUAAGUCAGGGGUGAAAUCCCGGGGCUCAACCUCGGAACUGCCUUUGAUACUGCGGAUCUCGAGUCCGAUAGAGGUGAGUGGAAUUCCUAGUGUAGAGGUGAAAUUCGUAGAUAUCGGGAGGAACAUCAGUGGCGAAGGCGGCCCUCUGGUCCAGUACUGACACUCAAGUGCGAAAGCGUGGGGAGCAAACAGGAUUAGAUACCCCUGUAGUCCCUGAGCGGGCUGGCAAGGCGCAU